ACCCUGGCGGCGAGCGGCGAACGGGUGAGUAAUACAUCGGAACGUGUCCAGUAGUGGGGGAUAACCAGUCGAAAGAUUGGCUAAUACCGCAUACGAUCUACGGAUGAAAGCGGGGGACCGCAAGGCCUCGCGCUAUUGGAGCGGCCGAUGUCGGAUUAGCUAGUUGGCGGGGUAAAAGCCCACCAAGGCGACGAUCCGUAGCUGGUCUGAGAGGACGACCAGCCACACUGGAACUGAGACACGGUCCAGACUCCUACGGGAGGCAGCAGUGGGGAAUUUUGGACAAUGGGCGCAAGCCUGAUCCAGCCAUGCCGCGUGAGUGAAGAAGGCCUUCGGGUUGUAAAGCUCUUUCGGCGGGGACGAAAUGGUUCGUGCUAACACCGCGAACUGAUGACGGUACUCGUAGAAGAAGCACCGGCUAACUACGUGCCAGCAGCCGCGGUAAUACGUAGGGUGCGGGCGUUAAUCGGAAUUACUGGGCGUAAAGCGGUGCGCAGGCGGCUCCUUAAG
Molecule: ribosomal RNA, 510 nt
Filed under: uncultured beta proteobacterium
Lineage: Bacteria; Pseudomonadati; Pseudomonadota; Betaproteobacteria
Description: bacterial SSU rRNA
Rfam family: Bacterial small subunit ribosomal RNA
Source: RNAcentral